GAAGUUAGCGGCGGACGGGUGAGUAACACGUGGGUAACCUGCCCAUAAGACUGGGAUAACUCCGGGAAACCGGGGCUAAUACCGGAUAACAUUUUGAACUGCAUGGUUCGAAAUUGAAAGGCGGCUUCGGCUGUCACUUAUGGAUGGACCCGCGUCGCAUUAGCUAGUUGGUGAGGUAACGGCUCACCAAGGCAACGAUGCGUAGCCGACCUGAGAGGGUGAUCGGCCACACUGGGACUGAGACACGGCCCAGACUCCUACGGGAGGCAGCAGUAGGGAAUCUUCCGCAAUGGACGAAAGUCUGACGGAGCAACGCCGCGUGAGUGAUGAAGGCUUUCGGGUCGUAAAACUCUGUUGUUAGGGAAGAACAAGUGCUAGUUGAAUAAGCUGGCACCUUGACGGUACCUAACCAGAAAGCCACGGCUAACUACGUGCCAGCAGCCGCGGUAAUACGUAGGUGGCAAGCGUUAUCCGGAAUUAUUGGGCGUAAAGCGCGCGCAGGUGGUUUCUUAAGUCUGAUGUGAAAGCCCACGGCUCAACCGUGGAGGGUCAUUGGAAACUGGGAGACUUGAGUGCAGAAGAGGAAAGUGGAAUUCCAUGUGUAGCGGUGAAAUGCGUAGAGAUAUGGAGGAACACCAGUGGCGAAGGCGACUUUCUGGUCUGUAACUGACACUGAG
Molecule: ribosomal RNA, 677 nt
Filed under: uncultured bacterium
Lineage: Bacteria
Description: bacterial SSU rRNA
Rfam family: Bacterial small subunit ribosomal RNA
Source: RNAcentral